AGUGGGGAACCCUUCCAUGAGGAGUAGAACACUCCUUAUGCAAGAUUCCCUUCUAC
Molecule: microRNA precursor, 56 nt
Organism: Meriones unguiculatus (Mongolian gerbil)
Lineage: Eukaryota; Metazoa; Chordata; Mammalia; Rodentia; Muridae
Source: Ensembl